RNAcentral lists this ribosomal RNA (377 nucleotides) under uncultured bacterium. RNAcentral describes it as "bacterial SSU rRNA". It matches the Rfam family "Bacterial small subunit ribosomal RNA", at positions 521 to 896 of the family's 1533-position model. The record is from RNAcentral.
UAAUACAGAGGGUGCGAGCGUUAAUCGGAAUUACUGGGCGUAAAGGGUGUGUAGGUGGAUAGGUAAGUUAGAUGUGAAAUCCCCGGGCUUAACCUGGGAACUGCGUUUAAAACUGCUUGUCUAGAGUAAUGUAGAGGAUAGUGGAAUUUCCAGUGUAGCGGUGAAAUGCGUAGAUAUUGGAAGGAACACCAGUGGCGAAGGCGACUAUCUGGACAGAUACUGACACUGAGACACGAAAGCGUGGGGAGCAAACAGGAUUAGAUACCCUGGUAGUCCAUGCUGUAAACUAUGAGAACUUGCUGUUGGAUGCAUAAAGGCAUUUAGUAGCGAAGCUAACGCGUUAAGUUCUCCGCCUGGGGAGUACGGCCGCAAGGCUA